Molecule: ribosomal RNA, 558 nt
Filed under: uncultured Glomus
Lineage: Eukaryota; Fungi; Glomeromycota; Glomeromycetes; Glomerales; Glomeraceae
Description: SSU rRNA
Rfam family: Eukaryotic small subunit ribosomal RNA
Source: RNAcentral
AAUUGGAGGGCAAGUCUGGUGCCAGCAGCCGCGGUAAUUCCAGCUCCAAUAGCGUAUAUUAAAGUUGUUGCAGUUAAAAAGCUCGUAGUUGAAUUUCGAGACCGGCUUACUGGUCGUGCUAUUGUACGUACUGGUAUAAUCGGCUUCUCCUUUCUGACGAACUUUAAUGCCAUUAAUUUGGUGUUUUAGGGAAUCAGGACUGUUACUUUGAAAAAAUUAGAGUGUUUAAAACAGGCUAACGCUUGAAUACAUUAGCAUGGAAUAAUGAAAUAGGACAUCGCAUUCUAUUUUGUUGGUUUCUAGGAUCGAUGUAAUGAUUAAUAGGGAUAGUUGGGGGCAUUAGUAUUCAAUUGUCAGAGGUGAAAUUCUUGGAUUUAUUGAAGACUAACUACUGCGAAAGCAUUUGCCAAGGAUGUUUUCAUUAAUCAAGAACGAAAGUUAGGGGAUCGAAGACGAUCAGAUACCGUCGUAGUCUUAACCAUAAACUAUGCCGACUAGGGAUCGGAUGAUGUUGAUUUUUUAAUGACUCAUUCGGCACCUUACGGGAAACCAAAGUGU